CUACCCCUCAAGCGCGGCUUGUGCUGGGCGCUGUCCCUCCCCUUCUUCGGGGGGACAGGCCUGAAAGGCAGUGGCGGCGUCGCGUCCGGUCCUCGAGCGUAUGGGGCUUUGUCACCCGCUCUGUGAGGAUCCGGCCGGGGCCUGUCUCACCCCCAAUCUUCUCUAA
Molecule: unclassified non-coding RNA, 166 nt
Filed under: uncultured Trichocomaceae
Lineage: Eukaryota; Fungi; Ascomycota; Eurotiomycetes; Eurotiales; Trichocomaceae
Description: sequence contains ITS2
Source: RNAcentral